GGGGAAUGUAAUGCCAAUGAAGAAGAAGAAGAAGAAGCAGAAGAUGGUGCAAGAAGUGUCCUUUUCAUUACUGUUUCUGGUGCUGGGCAAGCGGUAGUUUACUGGCUUCUCAAUCGAGAAAUCAAGCUUAUGAUAAAAUAUUGCUGCUCGCUGCCUUCACUGAUUCAAGACCGUUCAGUGGCUAUCAUUAGCCAAUCACACAAACGGGAGGUUUAUAUUUAUAUUCAACUUCGAUCCACCUAUGCAAGGAAAAAUAAGCCAUUGGAGAUAAAUCGAAUCCCCUUCUCUAGUAGCAGCAGUUACGGCGUAUUUAACGAGUAUAGCGGACUGCGUCAUUACCGACUUUCUGCGUUUAUGCACCCGUGUCAAAGUA
Armigeres subalbatus is the source of this 373-nucleotide long non-coding RNA. RefSeq lists it as uncharacterized. The transcript has 3 exons. Lineage: Eukaryota; Metazoa; Arthropoda; Insecta; Diptera; Culicidae. The record is from RefSeq and is a predicted model, not a curated record.